CACGUAGGCGGACUUUCAAGUCAGGGGUGAAAUCCCGGAGCUCAACUUCGGAAUUGCCUUUGAUACUGUUGGUCUCGAGUCCGGAAGAGGUGGGUGGAAUUCCUAGUGUAGAGGUGAAAUUCGUAGAUAUUAGGAAGAACACCGGUGGCGAAGGCGGCCCACUGGUCCGGUACUGACGCUGAGGUGCGAAAGCGUGGGGAGAAAC
RNAcentral lists this ribosomal RNA (205 nucleotides) under uncultured bacterium. RNAcentral's name for it is "partial 16S ribosomal RNA". It matches the Rfam family "Bacterial small subunit ribosomal RNA", at positions 568 to 772 of the family's 1533-position model. The record is from RNAcentral.